This 330-nucleotide unclassified non-coding RNA is filed under the name soil metagenome. RNAcentral describes it as "partial contains 5.8S ribosomal RNA, internal transcribed spacer 2, and large subunit ribosomal RNA". The stretch from base 1 to 120 matches the Rfam family "5.8S ribosomal RNA", at positions 35 to 154 of the family's 154-position model. The record is from RNAcentral.
GAUGAAGAACGCAGCGAAAUGCGAUAAGUAAUGUGAAUUGCAGAAUUCAGUGAAUCAUCGAAUCUUUGAACGCACAUUGCGCCCCCUGGUAUUCCGGGGGGCAUGCCUGUUCGAGCGUCAUUUCACCACUCAAGCCUCGCUUGGUAUUGGGCAACGCGGUCCGCCGCGUGCCUCAAAUCGUCCGGCUGGGUCUUCUGUCCCCUAAGCGUUGUGGAAACUAUUCGCUAAAGGGUGUUCGGGAGGCUACGCCGUAAAACAACCCCAUUUCUAAGGUUGACCUCGGAUCAGGUAGGGAUACCCGCUGAACUUAAGCAUAUCAUAAGCGGAGGA